This 74-nucleotide transfer RNA is filed under the name Amborella trichopoda. RNAcentral describes it as "tRNA AMTR_s00067t00277790". It matches the Rfam family "tRNA". Rfam says of the family: Transfer RNA (tRNA) molecules are approximately 80 nucleotides in length. Their secondary structure includes four short double-helical elements and three loops (D, anti-codon, and T loops). The record is from Rfam by way of RNAcentral. Lineage: Eukaryota; Viridiplantae; Streptophyta; Magnoliopsida; Amborellales; Amborellaceae.
UGCGGGGUAGAGCAGUUUGGUAGCUCGCAAGGCUCAUUACCUUGAGGUCACGAGUUCAAAUCCUAUCUCCACAA